Molecule: transfer RNA, 71 nt
Filed under: Loxodonta africana (African savanna elephant)
Lineage: Eukaryota; Metazoa; Chordata; Mammalia; Proboscidea; Elephantidae
Rfam family: tRNA
About the family: Transfer RNA (tRNA) molecules are approximately 80 nucleotides in length. Their secondary structure includes four short double-helical elements and three loops (D, anti-codon, and T loops).
Source: Rfam by way of RNAcentral
GCAGUGGUGGUUCAGUGGUAGAAUACUUGCCUUCCACGUGAGAGACCCAGGUUCAAUUUCAGGCCAAUGCA